AGAAUGAACGUUGGCGGCGUGGAUUAGGCAUGCAAGUCGCGCGAUUGCCUUCGGGCAAGAGCGGCGGAAGGGAGAGUAACGCGUAGAUACCUACCCUCGGGACCGGAAUAGCGACGGGAAACUGUCGGUAAUGCCGGAUAACGUCCCUGGACCAAAGGUGUGAAUCCGCCUGAGGAGGGGUCUGCGUCCUAUUAGCUAGUCGGCGGGUAACGCCCACCGAGGCGAAGAUGGGUACCGGGCGUGAGAGCGUGACCCGGCUCACUGGGACUGAGACACUGCCCAGACACCUACGGGUGGCUGCAGUCGAGAAUCUUCGGCAAUGAGCGCAAGCUUGACCGAGCGACGCGCGUGCGGGAUGAAGGUCUUUCGGGUUGUAAACCGCUGUCAGGUGGGAGGAAAGUUCGUUCGGGGGUACUCCCCGUUGAUUGACCGAUCCGCAGAGGAAGGACGGCUAAGUCGUGCCAGCAGCCGC
RNAcentral lists this ribosomal RNA (472 nucleotides) under uncultured soil bacterium. RNAcentral's name for it is "bacterial SSU rRNA". It matches the Rfam family "Bacterial small subunit ribosomal RNA", at positions 26 to 518 of the family's 1533-position model. The record is from RNAcentral.